Triticum aestivum (bread wheat) is the source of this 855-nucleotide long non-coding RNA. RefSeq lists it as uncharacterized. The transcript has 3 exons. The record is from RefSeq and is a predicted model, not a curated record. Lineage: Eukaryota; Viridiplantae; Streptophyta; Magnoliopsida; Poales; Poaceae.
GCGCCGGUUACUCUCUUUUGCACACGAUCUUUUAUUUCCCAUUCAAUGGAUUACAGUGGGAGAUAAACAGAUCGGCCUCGCUCUUUUAGACUCUCCGCCUUCCCAAUCAUGUUUGUUCCCAUUCCCUCACCCCAUCUCCUUGAUCUCCUUCACAACCAAGCCCGCCUAUUUCUGCAGGUCUCCUGUUUGCUGGGGUUAAAUUCAGCAAUCACCAAGAUCGACGCGAUUGCGCGAUGUCGUCCUCACUGUCCGCUGUUGUUCAUCAUCGAAGCUGCUGCCCACCUCGCGACGAAUGUUGUCGCCACCAUCAUCUACCCAUGAGGAUCCGAGCCACUGCACAAGGCAAAUAGUUACUGGGGCUUGCAAGGUUAACUGCUCGAUCCAUGGAUACAAUUUAGCAUCUAUAAUGAAAUCACAAGACUUGGAGCAGAGUAAGGAGAUUACAACAGUCGAUGUAUAAUUGUUGUGCAUAUACUCAGGGUGUUCCUUAAUUAGAAGUUUAUUUCAACAUCUUUGUUAAAUAUUCUAGCAUGAUCAUUUACCAUGGGACAAAGUAUUAUGGUAAGCACAUUAGCCUAUGGUGAUGUUGAUGCAAACUGACACAAAGCUAUUGCUAAGAUGAUGCACAGUAACAUUUGUUCUUUUCUUUUUGUACCUCUAGAUAUUCGAUUUACAAUUUGCUGCAGAAUUACAAGCUAGAGCUAUCUCUCAAAUUUUAUAAGGGUGAUUUCAUCGAAGGAUGUAAUGUCAGACAACCUAUAAUCUUAAAUUUUUGGAUAAUGUUUUGAAGACAAUUAUCACUCAAGUAUGAUGUUAUUUAUACAUCUAGCACUUUGGGUUCGCUCAAGCUGUCAA